UUGUAAAGACAGGAGACGCCGACGAAAGGCGGAGAAGGCUCUCUUUGUUUUGAAUCAUUAAGUCUUGCUCGGGCAAAAACAGGAGAUGCUGACAGGGCAAAGAGGGUUCUCUGUGUCACGUUCCUUUAAGGCUCGCUCGAGUAAAAAGGCCGAGCAGAGAUGGAGAGUCAUGGAGUAUCCCGCAUGUACUGUAUAAGGCCCGCUCGGGUGAAGACAGAAGACGCCGAGAAAAAGCGGUGAAGGCUUUCUGUAUCCCGUUUUAUUAAAUUUCGCGCAGGGCGAGAAUUUUUUGUUCUUUUUUAUUGAGCACUUCCUCCGUGAGUGACACAGCUUCCGAAAGACUACUCAUCCAGGGAAAUGGAGAAAAAUUGUGGAUUGGAGCUACAGUCAAUUUUACCAAAAAUGGGCAUUUGAGUGACAGGGCAAGGACCCCGAAUAAAAGGCAAGAGAACAGGCUGGACGAUCGUGGACCUUGGUCAGGAGAAGUGCGGCUAUCAAGUCUGGAGAGGUCCUUCUUCGGUAGGGUAGAUGAGGAGAGGUCCGAAUAGAGUUACCGGCCUGGACGCUUCCUUAUGACGAGCGCCCCGAGGUGCGGGUGCGACCCCUUUUUAUGCUCGUCCCGCAGAGGGAACUAUCGGGGAAUUCUAAUGCAAUCCGGUCCAAGUUCGAUUUGCGUCCGGGUGUUGUUUAUGUUAAUUGUCAGAAAUCGAACUUUUCGACAAAUUUAUUACCUUUUUCUAUCCGGUAUCGUUACUUAUUUUACCUCAUUAAACUGAUAACAUCUGCCAAACAUACUAAAUUAAUUGCUGGUCAGAGUUUGGGUUACAACCUUAGUAAUAAUUGUUAAAUUGGAGAGAUAUUUGAUCGGUUUUAUCUAUUAAGAAAUAGGGAGAAAUUGUGUGCGUGUUUUUUUCCACUUGGUUAAUUAACCAACUUUUUGUUUACUUUUUUCUCCGACCUUUGACUCGAUCCUUAUGUCAUUGUAUUAACAUAUAACAAAAUUAUUUAAUUAGUAAAUUAUUCCCUUCGAAUAAUAAUGAAAAAUUGUUGUUAUUUAACGUUUAAAUGCGUAGUGGAAUGCGUUAUUUCCGGCGCGCUGUUCAUCGACUUCCUCCUCCAUCCCCAACCCCACCGU
RNA transcript from Centruroides sculpturatus (bark scorpion), 1135 nucleotides. RefSeq lists it as uncharacterized. The transcript has 3 exons. NCBI's taxonomy places the organism in Eukaryota, Metazoa, Arthropoda, Arachnida, Scorpiones, Buthidae. The record is from RefSeq and is a predicted model, not a curated record.